GAGACUUUAAGUCUCCUGAAGGAACGUUGAAGACGACGACGUUGAUAGGCCGGGUGUGUAAGCGCAGCGAUGCGUUGAGCUAACCGGUACUAAUGAACCGUGAGGCUUAACCUUACAACGCCGAAG
This 126-nucleotide ribosomal RNA is filed under the name Escherichia coli. Its description in RNAcentral is "partial 23S ribosomal RNA". It matches the Rfam family "Bacterial large subunit ribosomal RNA", at positions 2801 to 2925 of the family's 2925-position model. The record is from RNAcentral. RNAcentral also lists the same sequence under 2 other names. Lineage: Bacteria; Pseudomonadati; Pseudomonadota; Gammaproteobacteria; Enterobacterales; Enterobacteriaceae.